UUUGAUCCUGGCUCACGAUGAACGCUAGCUACAGGCUUAACACAUGCAAGUCGAGGGGAAACGACAUUGAAAGCUUGCUUUCGAUGGGCGUCGACCGGCGCACGGGUGAGUAACGCGUAUCCAACCUGCCCAUCACUUGGGGAUAACCUUGCGAAAGUAAGACUAAUACCCAAUGACGUCUCUAGAAGACAUCUGAAAGAGAUUAAAGAUUUAUCGGUGAUGGAUGGGGAUGCGUCUGAUUAGCUUGUUGGCGGGGUAACGGCCCACCAAGGCGACGAUCAGUAGGGGUUCUGAGAGGAAGGUCCCCCACAUUGGAACUGAGACACGGUCCAAACUCCUACGGGAGGCAGCAGUGAGGAAUAUUGGUCAAUGGACGAGAGUCUGAACCAGCCAAGUAGCGUGCAGGAUGACGGCCCUAUGGGUUGUAAACUGCUUUUAUAAGGGAAUAAAGUGAGUCUCGUGAGGCUUUUUGCAUGUACCUUGUGAAUAAGGACCGGCUAAUUCCGUGCCAGCAGCCGCGGUAAUACGGAAGGUCCGGGCGUUAUCCGGAUUUAUUGGGUUUAAAGGGAGCGUAGGCCGGAGAUUAAGCGUGUUGUGAAAUGUAGAUGCUCAACAUUUGCACUGCAGCGCGAACUGGUUUCCUUGAGUACGCACAAAGUGGGCGGAAUUCGUGGUGUAGCGGUGAAAUGCUUAGAUAUCAUGAAGAACUUCGAUUGCGAAGGCAGCUCACUGGAGCGCAUCUGACGGUGAAGCUCGAAAGUGCGGGUAUCGAACAGGUUUAGAUACCCUGGUAGUCCGCACGGUAAACGAUGGAUGCCCGCUGUUGGUCUGAAUAGGUCAGCGGCCAAGCGAAAGCAUUAAGCAUCCCACCUGGGGAGUACGCCGGCAACGGUGCAA
RNAcentral lists this ribosomal RNA (897 nucleotides) under uncultured Bacteroidota bacterium. Its description in RNAcentral is "bacterial SSU rRNA". It matches the Rfam family "Bacterial small subunit ribosomal RNA", at positions 12 to 899 of the family's 1533-position model. Lineage: Bacteria; Pseudomonadati; Bacteroidota. The record is from RNAcentral.